UUUUUCAGCCUUCGGAAUGGUAGGGGAGCGUCGGAUACACUGAGAAGCCGAGCGGGUAACCGCUGGUGGAGAGUAUCCGAGUGAGGAUGCCGGUAUGAGUAGCGGAAAGACGGGUGAGAAUCCCGUCCGCCGAAAGCCCAAGGGUUCUUAAGCAAGGUUCGUCCGCUUGAGUUUAGUCGGGCCUAAGCCGGGGGCGAAGCCGUAGGCGUUGGACAACGGGUUGACAGUCCCGUACCAGUUACGAUCGUUAUACCGAAGGGGGGACGCUUCAGGAAGACCCGACCGGGUGUUGGAAGUCCCGGGUCGAACACGAGGCCGGUCCGCAGGCAAAUCCGCGGACGUAACGCUGCGUGCUUAGACGAAAGAAGGCCUUCGGGCCGACGGAAGAGGGUUGGACUGGGGCCGAGAAAAGCCUCUAGGGAGAUCGUAACUGCCCGUACCGCAAACCGACACAGGUAGGCGGGUAGAGAAUACCAAGGCGCGCGAGAGAACUCUCGUUAAGGAACUAGGCAAUCUAGCCCCGUAACUUCGGGAGAAGGGGCGCCCUGGUUCGUGUAGCUUGAAGCAGUGAAGCGAAUUGGGGUUGCAGUGAAAUGGCUUGAGCGACUGUUUACCAAAAACACAGGUCCCUGCCAAGGCGAGAGCCGACGUAUAGGGGCUGACGCCUGCCCAAUGCCAGAAGGUUAACCGGAGGGGUCACCGCAAGGGAAGCCCUGAAGCGAAGCCCUGGUGAAUGGCGGCCGUAACUAUAACGGUCCUAAGGUAGCGAAAUUCCUUGUCGGGUAAGUUCCGACCUGCACGAAAGGCGUAACGACUUAAGCGCUGUCUCAACGAGAGACUCGGCGAAAUUGUAAUACCGGUGAAGAUGCCGGUUACCCACCAUAGGACGGAAAGACCCCAUGGAGCUUUACUACAACCUGGCAUUGCGUCUUCUCUAUGCUUGUAGAGCGUAGGUGGGACCCGCAAGGGGCCAAUGGAACACCACCCUGGUAUAGGGGAGGCGCUAACUGAAGGCAUGAAUCUGCCGGAGAGACAGUGUCAGGUGAGUAGUUUGACUGGGGCGGUCGCCUCCCAAAGAGUAACGGAGGCGUCCCAAGGUUCCCUCAGGGCGGUUGGAAAUCGCCCGCUGAGUGCAAAGGCAGAAGGGAGCUUGACUGCGAGACACACUAGUCGAGCAGGUGCGAAAGCAGGGCUUAGUGAUCCUCACACACCGCGUGGAAGGGUGUGGGCUUAACGGAUAAAAGUUACCCUGGGGAUAACAGGCUUAUCACUCCCAAGCGCACACAGCGACGGAGUGGUCUGGCACCUCGAUGUCGGCUCGUCGCAUCCUGGGGCUGGAUGAGGUCCCAAGGGUUGGGCUGUUCGCCCAUUAAAGCGGUACGCGAGCUGGGUUCAGAACGUCGUGAGACAGUUCGGUCCCUAUCCAUGGUGGGCGCAAAAGACGUGAGAGGAGCUGCUCCUAGUACGAGAGGACCGGAGUGGACUGACCUCUGGUGGACCAGUUGUCCUGCCAAGGGCACUCGCUGGGUAGCCACGUCAGGCAGGGAGAAGCGCUGAAAGCAUCUAAGCGCGAAGCCCCCCUCAAGAUGACGUCUUUCGGAGCCCCGGAAGAGUACCGGGUACAUCGGUCGCAGGUGUACGCACAGUAAUGUGUUCAGCCAAGCGACCCGAAUCGCUCCACACGCAUC
Molecule: ribosomal RNA, 1688 nt
Filed under: metagenome
Description: bacterial LSU rRNA
Rfam family: Bacterial large subunit ribosomal RNA
Source: RNAcentral